This 1167-nucleotide ribosomal RNA is filed under the name Staphylococcus aureus VET0290R. RNAcentral describes it as "bacterial SSU rRNA". It matches the Rfam family "Bacterial small subunit ribosomal RNA", at positions 8 to 1156 of the family's 1533-position model. The record is from RNAcentral. Lineage: Bacteria; Bacillati; Bacillota; Bacilli; Caryophanales; Staphylococcaceae.
AGAGUUUGAUCCUGGCUCAGGAUGAACGCUGGCGGCGUGCCUAAUACAUGCAAGUCGAGCGAACGGACGAGAAGCUUGCUUCUCUGAUGUUAGCGGCGGACGGGUGAGUAACACGUGGAUAACCUACCUAUAAGACUGGGAUAACUUCGGGAAACCGGAGCUAAUACCGGAUAAUAUUUUGAACCGCAUGGUUCAAAAGUGAAAGACGGUCUUGCUGUCACUUAUAGAUGGAUCCGCGCUGCAUUAGCUAGUUGGUAAGGUAACGGCUUACCAAGGCAACGAUGCAUAGCCGACCUGAGAGGGUGAUCGGCCACACUGGAACUGAGACACGGUCCAGACUCCUACGGGAGGCAGCAGUAGGGAAUCUUCCGCAAUGGGCGAAAGCCUGACGGAGCAACGCCGCGUGAGUGAUGAAGGUCUUCGGAUCGUAAAACUCUGUUAUUAGGGAAGAACAUAUGUGUAAGUAACUGUGCACAUCUUGACGGUACCUAAUCAGAAAGCCACGGCUAACUACGUGCCAGCAGCCGCGGUAAUACGUAGGUGGCAAGCGUUAUCCGGAAUUAUUGGGCGUAAAGCGCGCGUAGGCGGUUUUUUAAGUCUGAUGUGAAAGCCCACGGCUCAACCGUGGAGGGUCAUUGGAAACUGGAAAACUUGAGUGCAGAAGAGGAAAGUGGAAUUCCAUGUGUAGCGGUGAAAUGCGCAGAGAUAUGGAGGAACACCAGUGGCGAAGGCGACUUUCUGGUCUGUAACUGACGCUGAUGUGCGAAAGCGUGGGGAUCAAACAGGAUUAGAUACCCUGGUAGUCCACGCCGUAAACGAUGAGUGCUAAGUGUUAGGGGGUUUCCGCCCCUUAGUGCUGCAGCUAACGCAUUAAGCACUCCGCCUGGGGAGUACGACCGCAAGGUUGAAACUCAAAGGAAUUGACGGGGACCCGCACAAGCGGUGGAGCAUGUGGUUUAAUUCGAAGCAACGCGAAGAACCUUACCAAAUCUUGAUAUCCUUUGACAACUCUAGAGAUAGAGCCUUCCCCUUCGGGGGACAAAGUGACAGGUGGUGCAUGGUUGUCGUCAGCUCGUGUCGUGAGAUGUUGGGUUAAGUCCCGCAACGAGCGCAACCCUUAAGCUUAGUUGCCAUCAUUAAGUUGGGCACUCUAAGUUGACUGCCGGU